RNAcentral lists this unclassified non-coding RNA (361 nucleotides) under fungal sp. RNAcentral's name for it is "partial internal transcribed spacer region". The stretch from base 1 to 46 matches the Rfam family "Eukaryotic small subunit ribosomal RNA", at positions 1786 to 1831 of the family's 1831-position model. The record is from RNAcentral. Lineage: Eukaryota; Fungi.
AAGUCGUAACAAGGUUUCCGUAGGUGAACCUGCGGAAGGAUCAUUACCAAAAUCCAAUAUAAACCAACCUGUGAACUACUGUUAUCCGCUGGCUGCAUGCUGUGUCAAGUCUGUGACUGGGCUCGUGAGUGGUGGGAGCUUACUUAUAAAGGUCACUUACCAUGUAACCUCUUAACGGGGGUUACAGCGCAGCUGUGCUAGUGUGUUUCCCCGCUCGUAUUCUACUCAUUUACACCUUGUACCUACUACUCGAACUGACCUGGUCACUUGAUAUUGUAUGGGCCUUUCGGGGCGCGUGCGAUUGAAAUGACUUAUUAUACGUAACUACGAACAACUCUUAACAACGGAUAUCUUGGCUCUC